AGGAGGUGGCCGAUGGAAUCGGAGAAGGCGCACAAGGUCUGUGUCUAGUACUCUCCACACCUUGCGCUACUCAGGUCUGCUUGGGUCCUCCC
RNAcentral lists this microRNA precursor (92 nucleotides) under Pteropus alecto (black flying fox). Its description in RNAcentral is "mir-3200 microRNA precursor family". It matches the Rfam family "mir-3200 microRNA precursor family". Lineage: Eukaryota; Metazoa; Chordata; Mammalia; Chiroptera; Pteropodidae. The record is from Rfam by way of RNAcentral.